ACUACAAGUCCCGUCAUGCGCCGGGGGCUGGCCGCCCACACCCCCCAAUCUCCCAAGAUGCAACGGAAAGAACUUUAGUCCUGGGAGCCGGGUACCCCGGAGGUCUGAAAGGACCUAGUCAUUCUGCACGGAUACACGACACGAGUCCUUCCUGUUCCUGUCAUGCAGAAGUUAUGAUUCAGGUCCAAAGCCCUGCGGCUGGCUGUUCUUUCCUGCACGCCCCGACCAGCCCUUACUCCCCUUUUGUGAACGCCCGUGACUAGGAGGAACUCUGAGGACGAGGGAUAGAAUGAAUAUUGGGCUGGAAUCGGGAGAUAUGUAUUCCAGUCCUAACUUCAUCACUAAUUUGCUGUGACCAGACAUUUUCCGUAUUCAAACGAAAACUCUUCAUAACAAUAGCAGUUCUUUGAGCGCUUACCGUGUGCUUUCCCAUCUUCUAGCUUAAUCCUUGUAACUACUUAUCAAGAUGAGUAGUAUUUGUUAUUCCCAUUUGCGUCUGAGGAGAGUAAGGUAAAAAGAUAACUUUGUCGCAUCGCUAUGAGUGGUUCCAGCAGGGACUCAGAAGCAGGAAGUCUGGCACCAGUACCCGUUUUAACCACUGAACUACCCUCCCUAACUCGUACCCAGAAGAAAUGAACAUGGCACGCUUUCCUCGAGGAUGAGUCAAGUCUGCUGUUUACCAGGUAACAUUGAGAGGCAAUGUGGCUGAAGGUGGAACUCAAGCCAGAAAGGUUUGGAAUCCAGGUCUCUGAGAACGAAGGCCCUUGAUUAUUUCCAGACAAACACGCUGGAAGUCUCUUGAGGAGGUCAUGAUCUCGUGGUUCAUGGGAUUGAGCCCUGUGUCCGCC
Hyaena hyaena (striped hyena) is the source of this 848-nucleotide long non-coding RNA. RefSeq lists it as uncharacterized. Lineage: Eukaryota; Metazoa; Chordata; Mammalia; Carnivora; Hyaenidae. The transcript has 3 exons. The record is from RefSeq and is a predicted model, not a curated record.